This 1413-nucleotide ribosomal RNA is filed under the name Staphylococcus pasteuri. RNAcentral's name for it is "bacterial SSU rRNA". It matches the Rfam family "Bacterial small subunit ribosomal RNA". The record is from RNAcentral. Lineage: Bacteria; Bacillati; Bacillota; Bacilli; Caryophanales; Staphylococcaceae.
GCAGUCGAGCGAACAGAUAAGGAGCUUGCUCCUUUGACGUUAGCGGCGGACGGGUGAGUAACACGUGGAUAACCUACCUAUAAGACUGGGAUAACUUCGGGAAACCGGAGCUAAUACCGGAUAACAUAUUGAACCGCAUGGUUCAAUAGUGAAAGGCGGCUUUGCUGUCACUUAUAGAUGGAUCCGCGCCGUAUUAGCUAGUUGGUAAGGUAACGGCUUACCAAGGCAACGAUACGUAGCCGACCUGAGAGGGUGAUCGGCCACACUGGAACUGAGACACGGUCCAGACUCCUACGGGAGGCAGCAGUAGGGAAUCUUCCGCAAUGGGCGAAAGCCUGACGGAGCAACGCCGCGUGAGUGAUGAAGGUCUUCGGAUCGUAAAACUCUGUUAUCAGGGAAGAACAAAUGUGUAAGUAACUGUGCACAUCUUGACGGUACCUGAUCAGAAAGCCACGGCUAACUACGUGCCAGCAGCCGCGGUAAUACGUAGGUGGCAAGCGUUAUCCGGAAUUAUUGGGCGUAAAGCGCGCGUAGGCGGUUUUUUAAGUCUGAUGUGAAAGCCCACGGCUCAACCGUGGAGGGUCAUUGGAAACUGGAAAACUUGAGUGCAGAAGAGGAAAGUGGAAUUCCAUGUGUAGCGGUGAAAUGCGCAGAGAUAUGGAGGAACACCAGUGGCGAAGGCGACUUUCUGGUCUGUAACUGACGCUGAUGUGCGAAAGCGUGGGGAUCAAACAGGAUUAGAUACCCUGGUAGUCCACGCCGUAAAACGAUGAGUGCUAAGUGUUAGGGGGUUUCCGCCCCUUAGUGCUGCAGCUAACGCAUUAAGCACUCCGCCUGGGGAGUACGACCGCAAGGUUGAAACUCAAAGGAAUUGACGGGGACCCGCACAAGCGGUGGAGCAUGUGGUUUAAUUCGAAGCAACGCGAAGAACCUUACCAAAUCUUGACAUCCUUUGACCGCUCUAGAGAUAGAGUUUUCCCCUUCGGGGGACAAAGUGACAGGUGGUGCAUGGUUGUCGUCAGCUCGUGUCGUGAGAUGUUGGGUUAAGUCCCGCAACGAGCGCAACCCUUAAGCUUAGUUGCCAUCAUUAAGUUGGGCACUCUAAGUUGACUGCCGGUGACAAACCGGAGGAAGGUGGGGAUGACGUCAAAUCAUCAUGCCCCUUAUGAUUUGGGCUACACACGUGCUACAAUGGACAAUACAAAGGGCAGCUAAACCGCGAGGUCAAGCAAAUCCCAUAAAGUUGUUCUCAGUUCGGAUUGUAGUCUGCAACUCGACUACAUGAAGCUGGAAUCGCUAGUAAUCGUAGAUCAGCAUGCUACGGUGAAUACGUUCCCGGGUCUUGUACACACCGCCCGUCACACCACGAGAGUUUGUAACACCCGAAGCCGGUGGAGUAACCAUUUAUGGAGC